UUGACUGGGGCGGUCUCCUCCUAAAGAGUAACGGAGGAGCACGAAGGUUGGCUAAUCCUGGUCGGACAUCAGGAGGUUAGUGCAAUGGCAUAAGCCAGCUUGACUGCGAGCGUGACGGCGCGAGCAGGUGCGAAAGCAGGUCAUAGUGAUCCGGUGGUUCUGAAUGGAAGGGCCAUCGCUCAACGGAUAAAAGGUACUCCGGGGAUAACAGGCUGAUACCGCCCAAGAGUUCAUAUCGACGGCGGUGUUUGGCACCUCGAUGUCGGCUCAUCACAUCCUGGGGCUGAAGUAGGUCCCAAGGGUAUGGCUGUUCGCCAUUUAAAGUGGUACGCGAGCUGGGUUUAGAACGUCGUGAGACAGUUCGGUCCCUAUCUGCCGUGGGCGCUGGAGAACUGAGGGGGGCUGCUCCUAGUACGAGAGGACCGGAGUGGACGCAUCACUGGUGUUCGGGUUGUCAUGCCAAUGGCACUGCCCGGUAGCUAAAUGCGGAAGAGAUAAGUGCUGAAAGCAUCUAAGCACGAAACUUGCCCCGAGAUGAGUUCUCCCUGACCCUUUAAGGGUCCUGAAGGAACGUUGAAGACGACGACGUUGAUAGGCCGGGUGUGUAAGCGCAGCGAUGCGUUGAGCUAACCGGUACUAAUGAACCGUGAGGCUUAACCUUACAACGCCGAAGGUGUUU
This 679-nucleotide ribosomal RNA is filed under the name Escherichia coli. Its description in RNAcentral is "partial 23S ribosomal RNA". It matches the Rfam family "Bacterial large subunit ribosomal RNA", at positions 2270 to 2925 of the family's 2925-position model. Lineage: Bacteria; Pseudomonadati; Pseudomonadota; Gammaproteobacteria; Enterobacterales; Enterobacteriaceae. The record is from RNAcentral.